AGGAUGAACGCUAGCGGCAGGCUUAAUACAUGCAAGUCGUGGGGCAGCAUGGUGUAGCAAUACACUGAUGGCGACCGGCAAACGGGUGCGGAACACGUACGCAACCUUCCUUUAAGUGGAGAAUAGCCCGGGGAAACCCGGAUUAAUACUCCGUAACAUUAUGAAGUGGCAUCAUUUUAUAAUUAUAGCUCCGGCGCUUAAAGAUGGGCGUGCGCCUGAUUAGGUAGUUGGCGGGGUAACGGCCCACCAAGCCUACGAUCAGUAACUGGUGUGAGAGCACGACCAGUCACACGGGCACUGAGACACGGGCCCGACUCCUACGGGAGGCAGCAGUAAGGAAUAUUGGUCAAUGGACGCAAGUCUGAACCAGCCAUGCCGCGUGGAGGAUGAAGGUCCUCUGGAUUGUAAACUUCUUUUAUUUGGGAAGAAACCCCCGAUUUCUAUUGGGGUUGACGGUACCAGAUGAAUAAGCACCGGCUAACUCCGUGCCAGCCAGCCGCGGUAA
RNAcentral lists this ribosomal RNA (505 nucleotides) under uncultured bacterium. RNAcentral describes it as "SSU rRNA". It matches the Rfam family "Bacterial small subunit ribosomal RNA", at positions 26 to 523 of the family's 1533-position model. The record is from RNAcentral.